RNAcentral lists this ribosomal RNA (253 nucleotides) under uncultured bacterium. RNAcentral's name for it is "partial 16S ribosomal RNA". It matches the Rfam family "Bacterial small subunit ribosomal RNA", at positions 524 to 776 of the family's 1533-position model. The record is from RNAcentral.
UACAGAGGGGGCAAGCGUUGUUCGGAAUUACUGGGCGUAAAGGGCGCGUAGGCGGCCUUCUAAGUCGAACGUGAAAUCCCCGGGCUCAACCCGGGAACUGCGUCCGAUACUGGAAGGCUUGAAUCCGGGAGAGGGAUGCGGAAUUCCAGGUGUAGCGGUGAAAUGCGUAGAUAUCUGGGGGAACACCGGUGGCGAAGGCGGCAUCCUGGACCAACAUUGACGCUGAGGAGCGAAAGCCAGGGGAGCAAACGGG